This 594-nucleotide ribosomal RNA is filed under the name Triticum aestivum (bread wheat). Its description in RNAcentral is "partial small subunit ribosomal RNA". Lineage: Eukaryota; Viridiplantae; Streptophyta; Magnoliopsida; Poales; Poaceae. The record is from RNAcentral.
AUGUAUGUUCGAGACGUUCUUGAACUCCCAAACCCGCCGAGAAAAAAAAAGAAAAAGCCCUCCCCGAUCUUAUCCCCAUGCCCGCUCUACGCCAUCCCCGCCCCCUCGGCACCUUCUAGGCAGCAGGCGCCGCCGCCAGCAACUCCCUCCCCGGCGGUAGGCGCCGCCGCCACCACUUCCCUCCUCGGCAGCAAGCACCGCCGCCCCCAACUUCCUCCAGCAGCAGAAGCGCGGCCGCCCCCAUCUCCCUCCCUAGCAGACGCACCACCGACCUCACCUCCCUCCCCGACAGCCGUGCCGUCGCGACUGCACCUCCUGGCCGGGCCGCUGCACCCCUCCAACCCCCGGCUUGCCGGCGCCGCCCCAUCGGCCACCCCCUGCGGCCCAGCUCAAUCCAGCCCCGCCGGCUUCUACCGUGCGAGCCAACCAGGACACCUCCACCGUGACAGAGACGCCGCCCCGCGCUCCCCACCGGCUUGCCCUCGCUGCCUUCCCUGUGCCCUCAACCGGAGCACCCCAUCGCCGUCCACCGUGGCACCUCGCCACCACUUGCAGAUGGAGGAGGCCUCGGCCUGCAGCUACAGAAGUUCUUGA